RNAcentral lists this long non-coding RNA (1513 nucleotides) under Equus asinus (donkey). RNAcentral's name for it is "lncRNA (ENSEASG00005035712.1)". Lineage: Eukaryota; Metazoa; Chordata; Mammalia; Perissodactyla; Equidae. The record is from RNAcentral.
UAAUUUAGUAAGACAGUUUUUGACAGUUUUUUCAGAAGGCUACAGCAGUAGAUAACAUACAGACAAAGCUGUUAUAACAUUGGGGGGCAAAAUUAGGGUGGUUUAAAGAAGAAGGUAGUUUAUAAGUUUCACACAGGAGUUUCAAGGUGAGUGGUCCAGGUGAGGACAGUUCAGCUCCACACAGUCACUCAAAGACACAGGUUUCUUUCAUCAGGUUCCUCCACACCCUGGGGCUUGUCUUCAUCUGCAUGGUCAAGCCGAAUCUCAGCCACACAAGAACGGGAAGGAGUGGAUGUCCAGAACAAGUAAUCCUUUCUCAUAAAUGUAAAGACCUAAAUAAAUACUAAUGAAUGCCAAGAGGCUGGAUUCAGGGCUAUGCCCUUGGGAACAUCGUGGGACCAGAAGAGAAGGGAAGCAGUGCUCUUAAUGUUUCUGAAGGAGAGGAGAACAUUCAUUUUUCAUCCGUCAGCAGCAGAGAGGAAACUCCCCAAAUAAUUUAAAUCCUUAACUGGGACCACUUUAAGGAAAGAAUUGUCAACACAUGUUUGAUGUUUAGUAUUGAAAUUUGGAAGUUAAUCGGAUGAGUUCUAGUUGCUAAACUGCAUGAUAAGUUCAUGGGUACAGCCGCCAGUACAUAGUUGUGUAUUCCAGUUGUGAUGUGUCUCCGGUUGUGGCAUGUGGGAUGCCGCCUCAACAUGGCCCGACAAGUGGUGCCAUGUCCGCACCCAGGAUUCGAACUGGUGAAACUCUGGGCCGCUGAAGUGGAGUGCGCGAACCCAACAACUCGGCCAUGGAGCUGGCCCCUGGAAUAUUUUUAAAGAUGGUAUAAUUUUGAAAUAUUUUGAAGGGUGGUACCCUGUGCCAAUUAGUUUUGCAAUUUGCAGGCCAGAAUGAAGAAGAGGCCUUUCUCACUUCUUGUCACCUAGUUUAAUAGGGAGGUUUGGAAAAAUCCUGGGCUACCUUCACCAACCCCAAACUAGAAACUCUUCUGCAUCUUUAUCAUUUGAUGGUAUUUUCUCAAAUCAACCAGUAAGUAUGUACCCUAAUUUUCCUCUUAGCAAAUUCCUCAAAUAGUAGGCUCUUGGUUGUAUUUCCAGCUCUGAAUCUCAAAACCAAAGUAUAUGGAUCAGAAUGAAUUUAUCCACUUGUAACUAUUUCCAUUUCUUAAUAAAAUUGCUCCAAUUAAUUUCUUCUGGACUUGAAAUUGGAAAUGUUAUUAGAUGAAAAAUAUCUGUUAAAUGUGCUUGUGAUCUUAUCUCCAGUGACAACACAGCAGCCAGUUCUCAGUCCAAAUCCUUUCUUGCCGUGUUUUAGAAAUAGCUGGAAACAUUACAUGCUGACUAGCAAUGUAUGUACAUCAAAUAUAUAUAUAGUAUAUAUUUAUAUAUGCUAAAGGUAUUACUCUAAAAUUUUUCUGCUUUUGAAACAGAGAAAAAUUACAUAUGUAAAUAAAGACAAAGUAUUUAAUAAAGUGUUCCCUCAGUUUCUCUCAUUCUAACACUGUACUCUUGAG